ACUCUGAGACAGGUGCUGCAUGGCUGUCGUCAGCUCGUGUUGUGAAUGUUGGGUUAAGUCCCGCAACGAGCGCAACCCUUAUCCUUGUUUGCCAGCGAGUAAUGUCGGGAACUCCAGGGAGACUGCCGGUGAUAAACCGGAGGAAGGUGGGGACGACGUCAAGUCAUCAUGGCCCUUACGAGUAGGGCUACACACGUGCUACAAUGGCGCAUACAGAGGGCGGCCAACUUGCGAGAGUGAGCGAAUCCCAAAAAGUGCGUCGUAGUCCGGAUUGGAGUCUGCAACUCGACUCCAUGAAGUCGGAAUCGCUAGUAAUCGUGGAUCAGAAUGCCACGGUGAAUACGUUCCCGGGCCUUGUACACACCGCCCGUCACACCAUGGGAGUGGGCUGCAAAAGAAGUAGGUAGUUUUACCUUCGGGGGGACGCUU
This 429-nucleotide ribosomal RNA is filed under the name bacterium nerCTABsum06-2. Its description in RNAcentral is "bacterial SSU rRNA". It matches the Rfam family "Bacterial small subunit ribosomal RNA", at positions 1026 to 1455 of the family's 1533-position model. The record is from RNAcentral.